CACGAAGUUAGCCGGAGCUUCUUCUCACGCUACCGUCAUUAUCGUCGCGUGCGAAAGAGUUUUACAACCCUAGGGCCUUCAUCACUCACGCGGCAUGGCUGGAUCAGGGUUUCCCCCAUUGUCCAAGAUUCCC
RNAcentral lists this ribosomal RNA (133 nucleotides) under uncultured bacterium. Its description in RNAcentral is "partial 16S ribosomal RNA". The record is from RNAcentral.